UACGAAGGGGGCUAGCGUUGUUCGGAAUCACUGGGCGUAAAGGGCGCGUAGGCGGCUUUAUAAGUCGGGGGUGAAAGCCUGUGGCUCAACCACAGAAUUGCCUUCGAUACUGUAUGGCUUGAGACCGGAAGAGGUAAGUGGAACUGCGAGUGUAGAGGUGAAAUUCGUAGAUAUUCGGAAGAACACCCGUGGCUAAGGCGGCUCUCUAGUACGGUACUGACGCUGAGACGCGAAAGCGUGGGGAGCGAACAGG
This 253-nucleotide ribosomal RNA is filed under the name uncultured bacterium. Its description in RNAcentral is "partial 16S ribosomal RNA". It matches the Rfam family "Bacterial small subunit ribosomal RNA", at positions 524 to 776 of the family's 1533-position model. The record is from RNAcentral.